AAAUUUUCAUAUAGGAUAGAAGUCAGGAAGAUGUCUUUAUAUUGUCUUACAAGCAUCUUAAGACACAGAAGAUAGUUCUGGUUUAUAUGUAUAGGCUAUAAUUUGUUAAUGCGAUAGUAUACAUUGAAUCCUUACUUUCAAAAUAAAAGAAUAUGGGCAAACUCCUUCACCACACAAAACUUGGGAUCUUUAGAAACAACAUACGCCAUUUGUAUUUAUUUGUGCAUUGAUAUGGAUUUGUUCUCCAUAUCCUUGUACAAUCCCCUCUUGAAGCACAACAGGAUUGACAUACUGUGAUAAUUUUCUUUGAGGUUCUAUGUUUUCUAGGCUUGAGCUUCAUGGCGUAGUUUGAGCAGAGACACAGUAGAUGGCAGUGCGUAACAUAAAUUACCUCUUCUGCACAUUCCUGUUCCCAGCAGUAGCUGUCCGGAGCCAGUGAGAUUACCCCCUGCUCCCUGGCUCCGUUAGGAGGAAAGGAGAAGGCUUCUGCAAAGCAAUUUAGAAACAUCACCUUUGCUUGGUCCAGACUGCUGAAUCAGUGAAGGCAACUACCACUGAUCUAAACAGCUUAAUCACUGGUAAGGGUCUCUGAAGGCCUCCUACCUUCUUACAGACUGGGGUUUUCAGCAGAUGCCAGUGUAUUUUUGUUUUCACCCAUGACUUUUUCUUCCACUUAGAAGAUCAUUAACAAAUUUAAAUAAACCCUUUGAUUCACAUUCUUAAUAUGUUCAGUGCUUCAAAAUAGGCAACUUGCCCAUUGGACUCAUUUCUUCCCAUUCAUACUCAUAGCUUUUUUUUUUUUUUUUUUUUUUUUUUUUUUUUUUUUUUAUGUGGAUAUUAGAACUCUCAUUCCUGGUGCCUAGUGACUUUUGAACUUAUAUCUCGUACUGAAAUAAUAAUAGCAUUAUUUGGAAGUUCCCAGUUCCUGAGAUAUUCUUCAUCAAUUUGAUCUAGAGCAAGGGUCUGAAAUAGGAGAAAAAAGAGGAUGGAGGGGAAAGGAAGGAAACAGGACUUUCCUGAAUGCAUAGGAAACUAACAAUACUGCUAUGGUGCCAAGGAUUGGCAAAACAAGGAGGAAAACCUCUGAAUUAGAAAAUUUUAAUUGGAAAGCAUUGCUUUCAGUUAUUGCAUUUAGUUAUAGAUUCAUUCUAGAGAGAAUCCAUUGAAGGUUAUCAUUCUGAAGAUGAUUUCAGAAUUAUAUUUUUCAGGUGGAUCAUGAAAUGACAGAAACAUGGGAUAGUCCAGAAGGCUGACUGUUUAUUCUCUGCCUGGGAAAGAAGCAGCCAGCAGCACAUCUUCUGAUACUACUUCUAAGCACAGAAAGAUUUCACCUCCCAUCACAGUGAAGGUGCAUCACAAGUCUCUAGAGAAUUUUGAAAGAGGAUGAUCAAAAGCUGCUUCUGUGUGGAAAUCAGCUAAUACAAUUAGGAAGCUUCAGGAUAGAAGCCAUGUUGUCUGCCCUCUGCUUGGUUUCAGACAUCUCACAUUUUUCCAUGAUUUGUCAAAGGAAAGAAAUCUUUCUUUCGCUGCCCAGACCACUUCAUAAAGAAGAUACAGAUCUUCCCCUUGUCUGCUAUUCAGCACAUCUUCAGCAGCUGAAGGAGGCCUUGGUGCCACGUAAGCAAAGAGCAGGAAAGCUCACGGUGAGAGCCUUCUGGAGCUUUAAAUGCCAGAGUAUUCUUAUGCAAAACAAAUGUCUGUUACCUCAUACCUCAUACUAUGGGUUUAAUGUCUGUUAUUUUCAACUUUCACCAUUUUAUUAAAAUAAAAUAAAUAUCUUAUUUAUUUAUUUAUUUAUUUAUUUAUUUUGGCCUGUCUGUUUUUAAUUUCUUCAUGUAUAUCUGAAAUGAGGAGGAACUGUUUCAGAAGACUUGAAAAAAUAUAGAAUCAAGAAAGAAACCCCCCCCCUUUUUUUUUUUUUUUUUUUUUCACAGUUUUAGAGUUUUAGUAUAAGGUUCAGGCAGCUUAUUUGAGCUGCUCAGUUCUGAUGUCAUAACACCUUAAAAAGGAGGCAUGCAGCCUUGACUGAUGGUUCAGGAUACUCCAGACUGAUGCAUGAGCUCACUAUAGUGAUAGACAGAAUGGGUGCAGAAGUGUAGCCCCAAAAUAUCUGUUAGAGUGCAGCCCAUGGGGUCACCAGUUUCCCUCUGGAUGGAGCUCAUGAGGUUGAACCAGUGUUGUGCAUUUUGUGAUUCCCAUAAUGUGGGAUGCUGAGUUUUGGGGAAGCAUUUGCCUGUUGAAAUUGUGUUUCGUUUUUCUUUUCUUAUGGAAAAAGCCCAAGGUCCCUCCGUGCCACAUCACUCUGUCAUGAGAGAGCUUUGGCAGGAGCAAGGAAUUAAAUGACUUGGACAAGGCUGCCUUUAUGCAUUCGCAGGUGUCUAAGUUGAGGUAUGCAUGGAAUUUCAUAGACCAGCCUGGAUCUUAUUUUCAGUCACAUAUCAAAAUGUUUGCUGUGCCUACUUAGCACAUAUCACACAAAAAAUAUGCCAAACAUGGAAGCAAUGAAAGUCUGAAUCAGAGAAUGUCACCUUUUAAAACCCAUUAAUAAAGCUUUCAAAAAUAAAAAUAAGUGUAAUUCAUUACCCUAAAAUGUAACCUUUAAUCUUUUCAAGGCUGGCAUGAGCCCUAACCAUAGAUUUUGGAGUAAUUAAAUGAUCAUAUAAUAGUAAAAUAUUUAUGUGGGCUUUCACAACUAAAUUUUAGACCUGAUGGGCUUUUCAGUAUGAUCUAAUGGCUGGUGCACAGAAGCUGUUGUUAGGACUCCCAGGCUCUGUUUCUCCUUUCUGCCAAGAUUUACAGCUAAUGAGAUGCUAUUUUCUGCAUUGCCUGGCUAGUGCAAAACUGUAUUUGUUAGGGGUUGUUUUUAUGAGCUAAGAUUUACAGUUUCUAACGAUCACAUGCAAAGUAAACCUUUUAUUUACUUAACCACCGUGGAAAACUGCAUGUAACAAAAUCAUCAUAUAAUUCUUGCUGCAGAAGCACAGCUGUUUUAUAGCCACUGUGAUUUUUUUAGACUUAUACAAAGAACCAAAUCUUGUCACCUUUGCUUAUGUGGAGUGGAAUCUUUGCAAGCAGUCCUGUAGAGAUGAUUUUUCAGUUUCAUGAGUUAUUUCCUGAGACUUUGGUGGAGCAGAAGUCUGAAAGCUGAAAAAAGUGGAAUGGACAAUAUUUUCAGUGCCAAGGAGCAAAGUGAUCUAUUCUGUUCAGACCAUUGUUUGGAUUUGGGCAUAUCCCACACAGCUGCAGCCACUCUAUCCAAGGGAAGAGGACCUCUACCAGCUUGCUGAAUAGUAAAGCAGAGUAGUUACAUAGCAAAUUCAAGCAAGAGGGAAAACUAACAUGAAGAAUGAGGACAGGAGUUUUGAUAUAAAACUUCAUGGAUUGCAAAAUGAAAGCACUCAAAUAACAUAAUAAAAAAAGAGCAGGUUUGCUGGACAGUGAAGAAGGGGCAGAAUAUGCACUCAUGAAUGUGGAUUACUAUUCAGCAUCUGGGUCUAAGUCUUUGCAGAUAUGGAAAAAAUGUUGGAUCAGUGACCAUCCAUUUCCAGAUGGCAAGUGAAAUGUAUAUUUAGAUAACAUGAUACCCCAGUCCUGUAGCAUAUAUCACAUGGAGUCAGGCCCAUUGGGGCUUUUGGAAAGAAAUGGAGAUCAUAUGAAAAAGUCAGAGUCAUCGUUAAAACUCAGGGCAUGUAACAACCCUGCCAGUUCUCAAAACA
Long non-coding RNA from Oxyura jamaicensis (ruddy duck), 3716 nucleotides. RefSeq lists it as uncharacterized. The record is from RefSeq and is a predicted model, not a curated record. NCBI's taxonomy places the organism in Eukaryota, Metazoa, Chordata, Aves, Anseriformes, Anatidae. The transcript is spliced from 6 exons.